RNAcentral lists this long non-coding RNA (4093 nucleotides) under Arabidopsis thaliana (thale cress). RNAcentral describes it as "long non-coding RNA (ATHA_LNC000246)". The record is from RNAcentral. Lineage: Eukaryota; Viridiplantae; Streptophyta; Magnoliopsida; Brassicales; Brassicaceae.
UGAAUUUUGAGAAGAUCCUUGAGAACAUUGGCGCAAACGCCGAGCUUGAGAGUGUCUUUAGGGCAGCUUCCGGUGGACUUGGGCUUAGGUUUGGGUUUAGGGGUGGAACUGCAGCCACCGCCACAUGCGGUGGUUAAAGUGAAAAAAAGAAUGUUGAAUGUGAGGAAAAUGACAAGAGAGGCUGAAAUUUUUGAAGCCAUUUCUCAAAAAAUCAAAUUUCUAUUUUAGGUAAGAAGUUUUAAGAUAGAAGUAUUGCCAAAAGAGAGUGGUGAAGAUAAAUGAAGAGAGGGUGUACGUAUAUAUAUUAGGGCUUCAAGGGGUUGGACAGUUAAUUAAAGCUGUCAUUACUGUAUAAUUUUGAAGAAUUAUUAGACAAAUUUAUAUUUUAGUAAGUGGAUCUUUGUAUUAUUAAGUGGUUAAGAUAUACUUUAUUUUUUUUUAUUGCAUUAUGAAACAAAUGUUAAAUCAUGGAUAGAUGACCCUGUUGGGCAGUCAUCGUUUUUUUCUUUUUCAAAACUUUUAUUAGUUUAGUAGUUAGAAAGUUUUUCGUUAGUCAUCUAUACAAAAAGAAGAAACAAUACAUGUUUUUUUUUCCUGGCUAAAUAUAAUAGAUGGUUUUUAACUUUAACCAAUCCAUCUUUUAUUUAUGGGCCAUAUAUAUAUAUAUAUGAAAACUGAAAAUAACGUUUUGAUGUGAAAUAUACCAAAUAUACUUAUUUAGUGCAGAGUUAACAUGAGAUAAUAUGUAUUUCUCUUUAGUUAAUAAAUGAUACUAGUUAUUUAGUACGGAGUUAACAUGAGCUAAUAUGUAUUUCUCUUUAUUUAAUCAAUGAUACUAGUUUUAUUGUAAAGUAGAUGCAUUUACAAAUAAAAGUAUUGCUCAAAUAUUUCAAUAAUGACUUUUAAUACAGUAUAUGCAUUUUCAACUGUGAACACUUUGAAAAAUAAUGGAUUUUACAUUCCGUUCGACUUUAUGUUUUCUUAAGUUGAUUCAUAUUAUAUUGGUUUUGACGUUCGACUUUAUGUUUUCUUAAGUUGAUUCAUAUUAUUUUGGGUUUGAUCUAUUUUAAAUCCAAAAAAUUACAUUUUCUUAUUUGAUUUCUUAAAAUAUUUAACUUGUUCGAGCGUCUAUUAAUUUUUUAUGUGAGUUGAUUUAAUAUUAAUUUAGAAUAAUUUGUUCUAAAACAGUCGACAAUGCUUUUCGUAGGUAAAAUUUGUAUAACAGCUGAAUUAUUUAGAAUAUUCGCUUAAAUUCAUAAUCAUCGGCUGUAUUUUCUUAUUUCAAUCUAUCUUUUGUUUUUUUUUUAUUUUAUGAACCUUAAUUAUUAAUUUUCCGUUAAAUUAAUUGUAAUGUAAUUUGUAGACUCAUAUUUAAAUUAGUCCAUGUAAUAUAUACAUUAUUUUGGUCAAAAACAAAAACACGUAGGUACACGAUUAGGUCGACGUGUUAGUUUAUUCGACUGAAAACAACUAUAUACUUAUCUUAUUCGAAAAAUUAUAGAACAAAAUAAACUAUAAUCGACGCACAUGUAUUCAAUAAUUACUCAUACUUCCCAUGUGUUGUGUAGCCCAGAAUGUAAAUAAUAGGCAUGUGUUUGGAGAUUAGUAAUUUGGAAGUUUAUUGGCUUUAAUUACCCUUCACAUUUUAUUUUUGGGAAAUUAAAAACAACUAUAAUUCAUCAAAUAACAACAAUAUUAUUCUUUUUUUUUUGUCAUCAACAAUAUUAUGCUUAUCUUAUGACAAAUAUAGCUUUGGGUUCUUGGACACUAACUUCAGGUUUCAAUCAACAUGGAGUAAACCAUUAAUCAUAUUCUAAUUAACUGUUCGCAUUUUAUUAACCCUUGGUAGUUUCUCGACGCGCUAAGUUUACAAAAUAUGGAUUUCUUCUAUUGGCGAACUCCGUCUCCGCUAAAAAAUAAAAAAGGAUACUACAGUUUUCAACGAAUUACAUAGUUUCUAUGGAAAAGUUUUUAAAAAUAAAAUAAAUAAACAAAUUUUACCAAAGAAUUAUACUGGAACCCUCAGAUUUUUUAAAUCAUGUUAUUAGCGAUCAUUUAGUUUGGGUGGCAGCUCAAAUCAGCCCAACUAAGGAUGUCAAGGAAUUAUUGUUCUUUAAGAUGUCAAGGUGAUGGUUCGUGGAAAUUAUAAUGCCUCGGCCGUAAUCGUCUGCGGCCCCACGUUUUAUUUUGGCAAGUAGAUUCGACCCCGUCCGAGACUAUUUUGGGAGGCUCGAAAGAAUUGUUUAUUGUCCUUACUUAUCGCCACUAAAUAUUUGUUGUGUUUUUUCUUCAUUAACACGGUACCCAAAAUUAAUUUCAGGCAGGUCGAACCAUCAUGAAAUAUAUAUAGUUCAAACACGUUUCACUCUACCAAAUCAAUUUUAAGUCUCUUUGUAUGCAUCACCAAAUUGUUUUUUAGAAAAGAGUUGUGUUAAAACCUCCUCACUAGCUCACAGAUCACAUUAUUGUGUAUCAAGACGGUUACUCCAACAGUGAAUUAGUGUACGUGUCUCCACACUCGUCCGGUUCGGCUCUAAUACUAGUUGUUACGCUUUCCAUGCCCUCUCUCACCAUGUGGAUUCCAUUCUUGUCCAACAGAUGGUAUGUAUAUUUGGGAGACAUUGAAAGACAUGUUUAAUGUUCCUCCUUACUCAUAUGGUAUUUAUUAUUUAACAUUGUUUUCAUUUGGUCACAUAUCCUAAAUAUCGCAAUAGUUCCAUUACGCUUAACUAUAAAAUUUUAUCGAAACGAUUAACGGAAAAUAUGCGUAUAUUUUUGUGACAUAGAUAAUCAAUCAAUUAUUUUAAACUUCUUUGAAUGUAUCUUAAUAUUUUUAAAUUCGAGGGAUUACAUUAAUCUUCUUACCCCAAAUCUGGUUUUGGAUGGAUGGAGAACUAUAAAACUUUGAACAGUUUGAGAAAUCAUAGUUUGCAUUUCAAAUAAAUGGACUGAUUAAGUUAUAUACUUGUCCCUUGUCAUUUUCGUUUUGAGAUUUGAUAUAAGUAUUUAAGGAACAUGUUUGAAUUAUUUAUUUUUUGUCAAUUAAUUUUGAAUUGAAAUUCUGGGUACAGUAUAGAGUCUAAUUGAAAAUUCAUGAUUCUUGAUACGGUAUUAGAGUCUUAACAAGCCAAAUAGAUAAAAUUGGUUCGAACAGAUGAUUAAGUUCGGUAUUAGAUGAAUGAGCCAAAGAACCAUCUUCUCGAAAUGAUAUGUUAAAAAUCCACUAGUAGAUAAAGAUUAAUAUUAGUAAUUUCAACUAUUACCGAUUUGUUUUUAUUUAGAUCUUCAGGUAUUUCUCAUUGUCUAUUUUUAUGUAUCAAAUACAAUUCUUAUAUUUUUUCCAUCAUUUGAGUAUUGUUAAUUAUUAUAAAAUAAUUCCAGGGCUACACUUUUCUAGUAUGUAUAUUUCAAUCGAUAGAUCAGGUAGACAAAGAUUCUUGCUCUUUCAACCGUUAAAAUAAUAUAAGUAAAAUUAAUGUUAGAAGAAAAGUCGAAAGAAGAAGCAGAUUAUAAUCACUUUAACAAUCUUAUUUCUGAGCAAUUUAAUUUAAAAUGUAAACAGUACAAGAAGUAGAAACAACACUGAAAAUGGGAAAAUUCAAAGAAUAUUAAUCAAAGAAAAACAUGGAAAGAAAAUUUAAAACAUUAUAACCAAUCGAAGAGUGGAUAGAUAUAUCAAGCACAUACGAAGCCGGAAGGAACCUUCUUGCCACAAACAUUGAGAAGAAGGCUGAGAGAGACGGGAACAUUAAGAUUAAUGCCUAAAACUUUAGCCUUUAGGGCGGUGCAGAGACAAGCGGCAGCCUCAAGAUCAACUAAACCAUUGAGGAGCGAACAACAAGGCUUCACUGGUGGUGUUCCCAACUGAAUUUUGAGAAGAUCCUUGAGAACAUUGGCGCAAACGCCGAGCUUGAGAGUGUCUUUAGGGCAGCUUCCGGUGGACUUGGGCUUAGGUUUGGGUUUAGGGGUGGAACUGCAGCCACCGCCACAUGCGGUGGUUAAAGUGAAAAAAAGAAUGUUGAAUGUGAGGAAAAUGACAAGAGAGGCUGAAAUUUUUGAAGCCAUUUCUCAAAAAAUCAAAUUUCUAUUUUAG